UACGAAGGGGGCUAGCGUUGUUCGGAGUUACUGGGCGUAAAGGGCGCGUAGGCGGCCCUCCAAGUCGGGCGUGAAAGCCCACGGCUCAACCGUGGAAUUGCGCUCGAGACUGAAGGACUCGAGGACGGGAGAGGAUGGUGGAAUUCCCAGUGUAGAGGUGAAAUUCGUAGAUAUUGGGAAGAACACCGGUGGCGAAGGCGGCUCUCUGGACCGAUACUGACGCUGAGGCGCGAAGGCGCGGGGAGCGAACGGG
Molecule: ribosomal RNA, 253 nt
Filed under: uncultured bacterium
Lineage: Bacteria
Description: partial 16S ribosomal RNA
Rfam family: Bacterial small subunit ribosomal RNA
Source: RNAcentral